AUACUUACCUGGCGUAGGGGCUACCGUGAUCACUUAGGCGGUUCCCCCAGGGCGAGGCCCCUCCAUUGCACUACGGUUGGGUUGACCCCUGCGAUUAUCCCUAAUGCGGAUAACUCGGACGCGUAAUUUUUGAUAGUGGGGACUGCGUACGCGCCGUCCCCUU
Papilio xuthus (Asian swallowtail) is the source of this 163-nucleotide non-coding RNA. Lineage: Eukaryota; Metazoa; Arthropoda; Insecta; Lepidoptera; Papilionidae. The record is from Rfam.